This is a long non-coding RNA of Hippopotamus amphibius kiboko, 1313 nucleotides long. RefSeq lists it as uncharacterized. The record is from RefSeq and is a predicted model, not a curated record. Lineage: Eukaryota; Metazoa; Chordata; Mammalia; Artiodactyla; Hippopotamidae. The transcript is spliced from 4 exons.
CAUUAUUAUUGUUUACUUUGUAAUGUUGCAAAGAUCUCACAUUAGCGAAAUGUCAGCUCUGCUAUAUUCUUGUUUGUUUUUGCUUUCAUUAUUUGCAUUUUCAAUCCUUAGUUUCUUUAUAGAAAUCUUUUAAACUCAUUUCUCCAUUUUCCAAGGAUUUUAAUGAAAAAUCAUUAAAACUGUAUCAAUUUAACUGUACCUCCUAGAAAACCCAAUUUGUCAAAAUAUACUGAAAGCCAGCAAUCGCUUUCAAACCUUCCACAUUAUGGAAUUUAUUCUUACUCUUGAGAAUGUCUUUUAUAAUAUAUGUGUCUCAGGACCCUUUCAUAAAUGGCAAGGUGUGACACUGGAGUCAAGGUACAGAGUAUAUAUUAGUAAUUAGUAAUUGAUUUUUUGAAAAAAAUAAAUUUAAGUAGAAGUUGUAAUAUUUUAUUUCUGCACCCCAGUGGAACUUCCCUUUUGCUUUUUCUACCACAGAUGCUGGAAUACCUUUAGAUGCCAGGCAUGGCUGUGUGUUCCACUCUUGGCUAAUGAGAUGUGAACAUCUUUGACUGAAUGUGGGGGUUUCCAAAAAAGCUAUGGAACAGGAUGAAAUCAAUUAGAAUGUCUUUUUUAGCUUUUACCCUUAUUCCUCCCGCUUGGAACACUGGGACAAGUGCCACUGGGACAGAAAGACAAAAGCUACAAGCUAAGCAGAAGACUAUGGAUCCUAUUGAAACUUCCAUCUCAACAGGCGGUUUCCUAGUUGCGGUGUAAUGCAAGGGCUGGUGGUUCCAGGUUGGAGGCUUCUGCAGCACCCUGUCUGGAAUAUAUGAACGACGGCAAUAAGGAAACCCCGAGAACUCACUGCUAGAACAUUCCUCAAGUCCCCAGAUCCUUGGCCAGUUUGCCUUCUUCUUUCCACCUGUGCUGGAGUCUGUCUGUGCUUAUCUGUCAUGAUCCCUCCCUCUGAGGUAAGCAAACUGGCACGUUGUAAGCAAACUGGCACGUUGUGAACAGCCCUAUGGAGAGGCCUGUACAUCAAGAAUGGAGGAAGGCUUCCAGCCUAGAGCUGGCAAGUAGCUGAGGCCCCCAGUCUGACAAGCCCACGAAGAACUGACUGCCAAUGACCACGUAAGUGAGCUUGGAAGCCCCAGCCCACAACUGGCUGCAGCCUUGUGAGAAUCCUUGAGGCACAGGAUUCUCAAGCUAAGCUACACAUGGAUUCUCAUGGUUUAUGAGACAGUGUCUGUUAAGUCACUAAGAUUUGGGAUAAGAUAUUGUGUAUUAAUAAAUAAACUAGUAUGCAGUGCAUAUAAACUUCACUUAACACA